This 1269-nucleotide long non-coding RNA is filed under the name Homo sapiens (human). RNAcentral's name for it is "long non-coding RNA NONHSAT206730.1". Lineage: Eukaryota; Metazoa; Chordata; Mammalia; Primates; Hominidae. The record is from RNAcentral.
CUUACUCUGACACCCAGACUGGAGUGCAGUGGCGUGAUCAUGGCUCACUGCAGCCUUGGACUCCCGGGCUCAAACCAUCCUCCUGCCUCAGCUUCCCAAGUAGCUGAGACUACAGGCUGUGAGCUGAUUUGUACCUGGGAAAGCCAAAGUGUUCACAUAGACUAAGUCAGAAUAAGCUCCUCCAACUCGACUUGAUCCUGGGUGCAGAAAAUGCUGGAAGCCUGACACAAUCACAGCCCAAAGGGAGCAAAUGAAAAGAAAUCCUCUGAAUGAAAUUUGGGGUCUCACUUCGGGCAGCACCCACCCUCUGCAAAAGGGAGAUGUUUCCACAGCUGCUGAUCCUGGAUCCAGAGGCAGCACUCCCUCCACGAGGGACACUCGGGCAUUGUAAACUCAAGCAUCCCUUUGUUUUCCAUUCUUCACUCAGACAUUCCUGAUGACUAACUAGGGAUCAAUAUAAAUCACGUCAUUGUGAUCUCGGGUCUUUUCCUGCUAAAGAAAAGUAGAGAGUAUAAGGAAAUGACGGUGGUUUGAAAACAGAAAGCAAAAGUACUCCCUACAAAAGUUAUCUGGAGCUAUUAGGAAAACAAGGAAGAGGCUCCUGGUGAUUUGGAAGCCGGGCCAAGGUCUAGGAUGCAAUUGAUGUCAAUAGGUCCUUUGCAGGUAGAGGGACAGGUGAGGUCAUAGUCUGACGUCUGUUCUUACAGGGCUCCUCCCUGGAAAUGACUCGCUCUCUCUGUACUCAUUUCCUCUCAAGGCUUUGUUCCAGCAAGGGUUUCUUUUGAAAUAGGAGAAUCCCAGGUGGCACAGGAUGGGAUGGGGUCUCAGUGGGAGCAGUUGCUGCAAUUGCGAAAGAGGAGGAGGAGGAGGAGGAGGGGAAAGAGGCAAUACUUCCAGCCUCCAGGGAAAAUCUCUGUGCUUGCUGCCUUAUCACAGUGACUGGAAAUCCACCCUCAGAUGCACACACAAAGCUGUCAUUAACAGAAGCUUCACGUGCACCCCGGAAAGCAAAAUUGGGCACUCGGCUUCAAAGGAAACGGCUUCUUCCUUCACAAUACUUCAUCACUAAAUGGUUGUCUGGCAUGUUUGUUUUUUCAAAUGUCCACAUUUUAUUUGUCCAACUGAUUGUCUCUUUAUCAGCAGCAGCCAGGACCACAGCUGAACUGUUUGUGAGUUGGUAGUUUAUAAAAUCAAUGCUAAGUCUUUGCUAGUGUUUCUCUAACACGCUCAUUUGUAUUUAUUCGUCUCAGAAGUCAAAGAAAAAAACAC